This 72-nucleotide transfer RNA is filed under the name Fidelibacterota bacterium. Its description in RNAcentral is "tRNA-Arg". It matches the Rfam family "tRNA". Rfam says of the family: Transfer RNA (tRNA) molecules are approximately 80 nucleotides in length. Their secondary structure includes four short double-helical elements and three loops (D, anti-codon, and T loops). Lineage: Bacteria; Pseudomonadati; Fidelibacterota. The record is from RNAcentral.
GCCCUCUUAGUUCAACGGAUAGAACAAGGGUUUCCUAAACCUUAGAUACAGGUUCGAUUCCUGUAGAGGGUA